AAUGGCUGCUUACGGUUUCGGGUUAAAAAUCAGAGUGAUUGCUCUCUCUCUACGGUUAAAUAGUAAAAACUAAGCUCUAAAAUCAGUGACUGAACGGGCUCGAAUCGAUUGCUUAUACGGGUAAAAAGCCCACAAUAUGAGAUCCAGGGAGCCCAUGUAUGUGGUUCUCCACAACCGUCCCUCGACAAGCUCUUGCAGCGGAGUCUCUCAUGCUUCCCAAAUCCUAUGCUGCAUUGCAGGUUAACACCCUUGCUGCAGAGAAGCUAUACUCGCUUGCGGGGGACUGGGCUAUUUGAGUGUAUGCUGUCAUUGCUGUGGGACUGGAACAAUUAGCUUAUCGAGUUGGUAUGGUAAUAUCCGUUUACUUGGUUUCGGUCUAUUUUCUGGUUUCAGUCCUAUUAUAGAAAUAUUCAUGAAUCUUAAUGAAAAAGUUCAUACUUCACAUGAUGGAUAGUCAUAGAACUCUGAACUUUGCUCACGCUUUGAUACUGAUAUUGGUCAAGUUGCAUCAGGGUGUUUGUGAAAAUGUUGAACAAGAAUCCCAAAGCCAUACUCAGAAGAGUUGCACUUCAGGUGGAGGAGUCUCCUUUGUGCUACAGUUCAAGGAUGUUCACUACAAAAAAAAAAAAAAAAA
Molecule: long non-coding RNA, 634 nt
Organism: Tripterygium wilfordii
Lineage: Eukaryota; Viridiplantae; Streptophyta; Magnoliopsida; Celastrales; Celastraceae
Exons: 2
Source: RefSeq, a predicted model, not a curated record